RNAcentral lists this ribosomal RNA (253 nucleotides) under uncultured bacterium. RNAcentral's name for it is "partial 16S ribosomal RNA". It matches the Rfam family "Bacterial small subunit ribosomal RNA", at positions 524 to 776 of the family's 1533-position model. The record is from RNAcentral.
UACAGAGGUUGCAAGCGUUAAUCGGAAUUACUGGGCGUAAAGCGUGCGCAGGCGGCUUUGCAAGACAGAUGUGAAAUCCCCGGGCUCAACCUGGGAACUGCAUUUGUGACUGCAAGGCUAGAGUACGGUAGAGGGGGAUGGAAUUCCGCGUGUAGCAGUGAAAUGCGUAGAUAUGCGGAGGAACACCGAUGGCGAAGGCAAUCCCCUGGACCUGUACUGACGCUCAUGCACGAAAGCGUGGGGAGCAAACAGG